GCGAAGGUGGCGGAAUUGGUAGACGCGCUAGUUUCAGGUGUUAGUGUUCUUACGGACGUGGGGGUUCAAGUCCCCCCCCUCGCACCA
RNAcentral lists this transfer RNA (87 nucleotides) under Escherichia coli. Its description in RNAcentral is "tRNA-Leu". It matches the Rfam family "tRNA". From Rfam's summary of the family: Transfer RNA (tRNA) molecules are approximately 80 nucleotides in length. Their secondary structure includes four short double-helical elements and three loops (D, anti-codon, and T loops). RNAcentral also lists the same sequence under 2 other names. The record is from RNAcentral. Lineage: Bacteria; Pseudomonadati; Pseudomonadota; Gammaproteobacteria; Enterobacterales; Enterobacteriaceae.